Molecule: ribosomal RNA, 428 nt
Filed under: Bacteroidota bacterium
Lineage: Bacteria; Pseudomonadati; Bacteroidota
Description: Bacteroidetes bacterium partial 16S ribosomal RNA
Rfam family: Bacterial small subunit ribosomal RNA
Source: RNAcentral
UAGGGAAUCUUCCGCAAUGGACGCAAGUCUGACGGAGCAACGCCUCGUGAGUGAAGAUUGAUUUCGGUUCUUAAAACUCUGUUGUUAGAGAAGAACAGCGCAUUGAGUAACUGUUAUGCGUGUUACGUUACUUAACCAGAAAGGGACGGCUAACUACGUGCCAGCAGCCGCUGUAAUACGUAGUUCCCGAGUGUUUUCCGAAUUUAUUGGGCGUAAAGCGAGCGCAGGAGGUUAGAUAAGUCUGAAGUUAAAGGCAGUGGCUCAACAAUUGUAGGCUUUGGAAACUGUAUAACUUGAGUGCAAAAGGGGAGAGUGGAAUUCCAUAUAUAGCGGUGAAAUACGUAGAUAUAUGGAGAAACACCGGUGGCGAAAGCGGCUCUCUGGUCUGUAUCUGACGCUGAGGCUCGAAAGCGUAGGGAGCGAACAGG